This 253-nucleotide ribosomal RNA is filed under the name uncultured bacterium. Its description in RNAcentral is "partial 16S ribosomal RNA". It matches the Rfam family "Bacterial small subunit ribosomal RNA", at positions 524 to 776 of the family's 1533-position model. The record is from RNAcentral.
UACGAAGGGUGCAAACGUUGCUCGGAAUUAUUGGGCGUAAAGCGCACGUAGGCGGCUUUGCAAGUCGGAUGUGAAAUCCCUCGGCUCAACCAAGGAAGUGCAUCCGAAACUGCAGAGCUUGAGUACCAAAGAGGAUCGCGGAAUUCCCGGUGUAGAGGUGAAAUUCGUAGAUAUCGGGAGGAACACCAGUGGCGAAGGCGGCGAUCUGGGUGGAUACUGACGCUGAGGUGCGAAAGCUAGGGGAGCAAACAGG